GACGCUGAAGCUGGGUGCUUGCACCUGGUGGAUGAGUGGCGAACGGGUGAGUAAUACGUGAGUGACCUUCCUUGGACUCUGGGAUAAGCCCGGGAAACUGGGUCUAAUACCGGAUACGACCAGUCCUCGCAUGGGGUGCUGGUGGAAAGGGUUUGUACUGGUUCUUGAUGGGCUCACGUCCUAUCAGCUUGUUGGUGAGGUAAUGGCUUACCAAGGCGACGACGGGUAGCCGGCCUGAGAGGGUGACCGGCCACACUGGGACUGAGACACGGCCCAGACUCCUACGGGAGGCAGCAGUGGGGAAUAUUGCACAAUGGGCGCAAGCCUGAUGCAGCGACGCCGCGUGGGGGAUGACGGCCUUCGGGUUGUAAACCUCUUUCAGCAGGGAAGAAGCGAAAGUGACGGUACCUGCAGAAGAAGCGCCGGCUAACUACGUGCCAGCAGCCGCGGUAAUACGUAGGGCGCAAGCGUUGUCCGGAAUUAUUGGGCGUAAAGAGCUCGUAGGCGGUUUGUCGCGUCUGCUGUGAAAGCCCGGGGCUCAACCCCGGGUGUGCAGUGGGUACGGGCAGGCUGGAGUGCAGUAGGGGAGACUGGAAUUCCUGGUGUAGCGGUGAAAUGCGC
This 621-nucleotide ribosomal RNA is filed under the name Rothia koreensis. RNAcentral's name for it is "bacterial SSU rRNA". It matches the Rfam family "Bacterial small subunit ribosomal RNA", at positions 65 to 691 of the family's 1533-position model. Lineage: Bacteria; Bacillati; Actinomycetota; Actinomycetes; Micrococcales; Micrococcaceae. The record is from RNAcentral.